AAUGCCUCUACUCAAGGCUAUGACGAAAUAAUAAAAAUAAUGGACUUGGAGGGGAAAGUAACUCCUCAACAAUGCAAGAAGAAAUGGGAAAACCUAAAGAAAAAAUAUAAGGACUUGUCACUUCCAAAAACUGGGUCAGGGACAGAUGAGGGAGAAGUUACUGC
Molecule: long non-coding RNA, 164 nt
Organism: Melanotaenia boesemani (Boeseman's rainbowfish)
Lineage: Eukaryota; Metazoa; Chordata; Actinopteri; Atheriniformes; Melanotaeniidae
Exons: 3
Source: RefSeq, a predicted model, not a curated record